This 425-nucleotide ribosomal RNA is filed under the name uncultured bacterium. RNAcentral's name for it is "partial 16S ribosomal RNA". It matches the Rfam family "Bacterial small subunit ribosomal RNA", at positions 354 to 796 of the family's 1533-position model. The record is from RNAcentral.
GUGGGGAAUCUUAGACAAUGGGCGCAAGCCUGAUCUAGCCAUGCCGCGUGAGCGAUGAAGGCCUUAGGGUUGUAAAGCUCUUUCGUGGGGGAAGAUAAUGACUGUACCCCAAGAAGAAGCCCCGGCUAACUCCGUGCCAGCAGCCGCGGUAAUACGGAGGGGGCUAGCGUUGUUCGGAAUUACUGGGCGUAAAGCGCACGUAGGCGGACUGGAAAGUCAGGGGUGAAAUCCCGGGGCUCAACCCCGGAACUGCCUUUGAAACUCCCAGUCUUGAGAUCGAGAGAGGUGAGUGGAAUUCCGAGUGUAGAGGUGAAAUUCGUAGAUAUUCGGAGGAACACCAGUGGCGAAGGCGGCUCACUGGCUCGAUACUGACGCUGAGGUGCGAAAGCGUGGGGAGCAAACAGGAUUAGAAACCCGGGUAGUCC